Molecule: ribosomal RNA, 412 nt
Filed under: uncultured bacterium
Lineage: Bacteria
Description: bacterial SSU rRNA
Rfam family: Bacterial small subunit ribosomal RNA
Source: RNAcentral
AUCGUGGCGGGUAUCUGAUGCAGCACGCCGCGUGGAGGAUGACGCAUUUCGGUGUGUAAACUCCUUUUAUGAGUCAAGAAAAUGACGGUAGCUCAUGAAUAAGCACCGGCUAACUCCGUGCCAGCAGCCGCGGUAAUACGGAGGGUGCAAGCGUUACUCGGAAUCACUGGGCGUAAAGGACACGUAGGCGGGUUGGAAAGUCAGAUGUGAAAUCCUACAGCUUAACUGUAGAACUGCAUUUGAAACUUCCAACCUAGAGUAUGGGAGGGGGAGAUGGAAUUAGUGGUGUAGGGGUAAAAUCCGUAGAUAUCACUAGGAAUACCCAAAGCGAAGGCGAUCUCCUGGAACAUUACUGACGCUAAGGUGUGAAAGCGUGGGGAGCAAAUGGGAUUAGAUACCCCCGUAGUCAACA